UUCAAUUGUUAUUCCCAAAUCAAUUUUUUUACUGUUAAAAUGCUCAUUUUUUCUUGAGUAUGUUUGACCAAGGUUGUGCCAUGAAUUCUGCAGAAGGGUGGGAGACAAGGCAUCGAAUCAACUAGAAAAAUCAGUUGGUUCAAAACUUGAAGCUACCGUGGCCAGGCAGAUACAAACACAAUUUCAAACCUCUAGCAAACAUGCUCUUCAGGUAUCUGAUCAAGGGAGUGGGCCAAACAAUGGAUGUAAUGAAGAAAAAAAUUACAUAUUGUUAUUGAAUACUUUUAUGAGUCAUACUUUUAGUAUUGAACAUCUAUAUUGAACAUAAUGAACCUCUUUCUUUUUAAUUUUUAUGUAUGAACAAUUAGUUGUAUGAAUGAUAUUAGGUUGAACAAUGUAGUUUAUUUUAUACAAUAUUAUUAAAUUUUAGUUCAUAUUAA
This is a long non-coding RNA of Vigna angularis (adzuki bean), 440 nucleotides long. RefSeq lists it as uncharacterized. The transcript is spliced from 2 exons. The record is from RefSeq and is a predicted model, not a curated record. Lineage: Eukaryota; Viridiplantae; Streptophyta; Magnoliopsida; Fabales; Fabaceae.